UACAGAGGGGGCAAGCGUUAUUCGGAAUUAUUGGGCGUAAAGGGCGCGUAGGCGGCUUCGCAAGUGGAAGGUGAAAUCCCUCGGCUUAACCGAGGAACUGCCCUCCAAACUGCUUGGCUUGAGUCCGGGAGAGGUGAGUGGAAUUCCCAGUGUAGCGGUGAAAUGCGUAGAUAUUGGGAGGAACACCAGUGGCGAAGGCGGCUCUCUGGGACGGUACUGACGCUGAGACGCGAAAGCGCGGGGAGCGAACAGG
This 253-nucleotide ribosomal RNA is filed under the name uncultured bacterium. RNAcentral's name for it is "partial 16S ribosomal RNA". It matches the Rfam family "Bacterial small subunit ribosomal RNA", at positions 524 to 776 of the family's 1533-position model. The record is from RNAcentral.